GACGCACUCUCAGAGUUUGAUCCUGGCUCAGGACGAACGCUGGCGGCGCGCCUAACACAUGCAAGUCGAGCGGGGAUAUGUAAGGAGUAAUCCGAAUAUAUUCUAGCGGCGGACGGGUGAGUAACGCGUGAGUGACCUGCCUCUUACAGGGGGAUAACGUACCGAAAGGUACACUAAUACCGCAUAAGACCACAGAGCCGCAUGGCAGAGGGGUCAAAGGAGAAAUCCGGUAAGAGAUGGGCUCGCGUCCGAUUAGAUAGUUGGUGAGGUAACGGCCCACCAAGUCUGCGAUCGGUAGCCGACCUGAGAGGGUGAUCGGCCACAUUGGAACUGAGACACGGUCCAA
RNAcentral lists this ribosomal RNA (346 nucleotides) under uncultured bacterium. Its description in RNAcentral is "bacterial SSU rRNA". It matches the Rfam family "Bacterial small subunit ribosomal RNA", at positions 1 to 334 of the family's 1533-position model. The record is from RNAcentral.